GUUGACCUCGGAUCAGGUAGGAAUACC
RNAcentral lists this non-coding RNA (27 nucleotides) under Drosophila melanogaster (fruit fly). RNAcentral also lists the same sequence under 4 other names. Lineage: Eukaryota; Metazoa; Arthropoda; Insecta; Diptera; Drosophilidae. The record is from RNAcentral.